Molecule: unclassified non-coding RNA, 330 nt
Filed under: soil metagenome
Description: partial contains 5.8S ribosomal RNA, internal transcribed spacer 2, and large subunit ribosomal RNA
Rfam family: 5.8S ribosomal RNA (bases 1-119)
Source: RNAcentral
GAUGAAGAACGCAGCGAAAUGCGAUAAGUAAUGCGAAUUGCAGAAUCCGUGAGUCAUCGAAUCUUUGAACGCACAUUGCGCCCCCUGGUAUUCCGGGGGGCAUGCCUGUUCGAGCGUCAUUUCACCACUCAAGCCUCGCUUGGUAUUGGGCAACGCGGUCCGCCGCGUGCCUCAAAUCGUCCGGCUGGGUCUUCUGUCCCCUAAGCGUUGUGGAAACUAUUCGCUAAAGGGUGUUCGGGAGGCUACGCCGUAAAACAACCCCAUUUCUAAGGUUGACCUCGGAUCAGGUAGGGAUACCCGCUGAACUUAAGCAUAUCAAUAAGCGGAGGA